Small nucleolar RNA from Rhododendron vialii, 107 nucleotides. RefSeq annotates it as small nucleolar RNA snoR100. The transcript has a single exon. Lineage: Eukaryota; Viridiplantae; Streptophyta; Magnoliopsida; Ericales; Ericaceae. The record is from RefSeq and is a predicted model, not a curated record.
GAAUGAAGGGAGGAUGGUAAUAAGCACAUAAAUUGAUUUGGGUCUUAUGGAUUGCUUCUCUAAUGCCUUUCAACUUUGAUUUGGGGGCAUGGUUAUGCACCAAAACG